RNAcentral lists this ribosomal RNA (433 nucleotides) under uncultured bacterium. Its description in RNAcentral is "partial 16S ribosomal RNA". It matches the Rfam family "Bacterial small subunit ribosomal RNA", at positions 29 to 507 of the family's 1533-position model. The record is from RNAcentral.
AACGAACGCUGGCGGCAUGCCUAACACAUGCAAGUCGAACGAGACCUUCGGGUCUAGUGGCGCACGGGUGCGUAACGCGUGGGAACCUGCCCUUAGGUUCGGAAUAACUCACCGAAAGGGGUGCUAAUACCGGAUAAUGUCUUCGGACCAAAGAUUUAUCGCCUUUGGAUGGGCCCGCGUUGGAUUAGCUAGUUGGUAGGGUAAAAGCCUACCAAGGCGACGAUCCAUAGCUGGUCUGAGAGGAUGAUCAGCCACACUGGGACUGAGACACGGCCCAGACUCCUACGGAAGGCAGCAGUGGGGAAUAUUGGACAAUGGGCGAAAGCCUGAUCCAGCAAUGCCGCGUGAGUGAUGAAGGCCUUAGGGUUGUAAAGCUCUUUUACCCGGGAUGAUAAUGACAGUACCGGGAGAAUAAGCUCCGGCUAACUCCGUG